GGUCGCUUAGCUCAGUUGGUUAGAGCGUCGCAUUGACAUUGCGGAGGUCAGUGGUUCAAAUCCACUAGCGAUCA
RNAcentral lists this transfer RNA (74 nucleotides) under Candidatus Moraniibacteriota bacterium. Its description in RNAcentral is "tRNA-Val". It matches the Rfam family "tRNA". Rfam says of the family: Transfer RNA (tRNA) molecules are approximately 80 nucleotides in length. Lineage: Bacteria; Candidatus Moraniibacteriota. The record is from RNAcentral.